GUAUGNUGCAAGCGUUAUCCGGAUUUACUGGGUGUAAAGGGUGCGUAGGUGGUGAAACAAGUCUGGAGUAAAAGGUAUGGGCUCAACCCGUACUGGCUCUGGAAACUGUUCAGCUAGAGAACAGAAGAGGACGGCGGAACUCCAUGUGUAGCGGUAAAAUGCGUAGAUAUAUGGAAGAACACCGGUGGCGAAGGCGGCCGUCUGGUCUGUUGCUGACACUGAAGCACGAAAGCGUGGGGAGCAAAUAGGAUUAGAUACCCUAGUAGUCCACGCCGUAAACGAUGAGAACUAGGUGUUGGGGGAAUAACUCAGUGCCGCAGUUAACGCAAUAAGUUCUCCGCCUGGGGAGU
Molecule: ribosomal RNA, 350 nt
Filed under: uncultured bacterium
Lineage: Bacteria
Description: bacterial SSU rRNA
Rfam family: Bacterial small subunit ribosomal RNA
Source: RNAcentral